Molecule: long non-coding RNA, 1042 nt
Organism: Oncorhynchus masou masou (cherry salmon)
Lineage: Eukaryota; Metazoa; Chordata; Actinopteri; Salmoniformes; Salmonidae
Exons: 3
Source: RefSeq, a predicted model, not a curated record
CAGACAAGGUACGUUUAUCCUAUUAUAACUGACACUUAGGAAUGUGUUGACCAAGACUGUGAUCGUGUGAUGACACCUCAAAUGUUGUUCAAUGGCAGUUGAAAAAUAGAAGAACAGUAUACCAAGAUACACCGUAACUGUCAUAUGUUGUAUGGAGUAAAUGUCAGCCUGAUGGUGAAAUGCUUGGACUAUAUCCAUCAAGAGGCUACCAGGUUUCUGGUUCAAAGUUAAACUCACUAAUGAGAGAGUAUAUAUAUGAAAGGAUUUUUGUUGUUGUAUGGAUUUGUAGUAUACAGUACACAUACAUUUUUAAAACAUGACAAAUGGUGUUGAUUACUUAUUCUGGAAACCAUGUUUGACUUACUAGUCUAACCAUUUGUAAUGUGAACAUUGAAUAACCUAGUUGGCACGUUUGACAAUUUUUCAAUCGCAUGUUCUGCGCUGUCGUCUGGAAAACCACUGAUGUGUCAUCAACCGUCUGUGACUGAGGUGUGAACCACUUCAGUUGAAAGGAGUUCCUCCUGAUGCAGGUGUGGAAUCAUAGCCCUGACUGUACCCCAGCCCAGCCCUCCAGCCCUACUACUGUACUUCCCAGGCUCUCUCUUCAAACAGGCCUGGGGGUCAGAUAACUGGUUGUAGUGUAUACAGGUGCACCUAUGACUUACUUGAAUAACUCAAGUUCUGACUCAUCUCUAAACUCUCAGUGUCAUUUGGCUGUGGCAGGUGUGUCCCACUGCCUUGCCGUGUGAUUCAGGAAGAUAUCAUCGCUUGAGAUUAACAAGCCGUGAACCGCUUAAAUCCGGCUUGUCUCUUUCUCCGAAGCCGAGGGCGGCCCACUGGUGACUUUGAUGGACUGGAAUGCCGUUCACCCACACACAUAUGCCCACACAGGUCCCAUACACACAGACACACAGACAGACACACGUUCACAGUGUCACACUCCCACAAACAUACUCACACUCACUGUCAUACACAUCUGAUAUCAAAUGUGAAAUGUUUACAACCCACCCACACCACUCCCAUGCUCGCUUGUCAAUAAACU